AGCCUGCAGUGAACAGCUUUAAUUUCUGACACCUCAGAUGAAAACUGCAUGGGAAAUCUGACUCAUUCACGGAUGCAGCUC
This 81-nucleotide small nucleolar RNA is filed under the name Microtus ochrogaster (prairie vole). Its description in RNAcentral is "Small nucleolar RNA SNORD60 (ENSMOCG00000012174.1)". It matches the Rfam family "Small nucleolar RNA SNORD60". From Rfam's summary of the family: U60 belongs to the C/D class of snoRNA which contain the C (UGAUGA) and D (CUGA) box motifs. Most of the members of the box C/D family function in directing site-specific 2'-O-methylation of substrate RNAs. The record is from Rfam by way of RNAcentral. Lineage: Eukaryota; Metazoa; Chordata; Mammalia; Rodentia; Cricetidae.